RNAcentral lists this long non-coding RNA (286 nucleotides) under Setaria viridis. Its description in RNAcentral is "long non-coding RNA (SVIR_LNC005948)". Lineage: Eukaryota; Viridiplantae; Streptophyta; Magnoliopsida; Poales; Poaceae. The record is from RNAcentral.
UGGAAGGGGAGAGUAUAUCGUAACAAAUCCAUCACCGUGGAGGGUUUUUCCCUUUUCGCUGCUAGUAGCGUUAGCUAUCCAUUACUUCUCAUGACUGCUGAGAGUUUCUUGAUGCCUCGCCACGCAACCAACACUUCCCAAAUGCUACUACUCGGGCUCCACCAAACACAACUCUAUCAUGCGUGUCGCAACAUCCAAUCCACCGCCCUUAUCUGGUGAUGCCAUCAAAGUCACCACCACCAUGUCCGCAUUUGUUCCACCAACACCCCCACAGCUCCUCUACCCC